UACGUAGGGUGCAAGCGUUGUCCGGAAUUAUUGGGCGUAAAGAGCUCGUAGGCGGUCUGUCACGUCGGCUGUGAAAACCCGAGGCUCAACCUCGGGCCUGCAGUCGAUACGGGCAGACUAGAGUUCGGUAGGGGAGACUGGAAUUCCUGGUGUAGCGGUGAAAUGCGCAGAUAUCAGGAGGAACACCGGUGGCGAAGGCGGGUCUCUGGGACGGUACUGACGCUGAGACGCGAAAGCCAGGGGAGCGAACGGG
Molecule: ribosomal RNA, 253 nt
Filed under: uncultured bacterium
Lineage: Bacteria
Description: partial 16S ribosomal RNA
Rfam family: Bacterial small subunit ribosomal RNA
Source: RNAcentral